RNAcentral lists this ribosomal RNA (784 nucleotides) under uncultured Actinomycetes bacterium. Its description in RNAcentral is "bacterial SSU rRNA". It matches the Rfam family "Bacterial small subunit ribosomal RNA", at positions 184 to 982 of the family's 1533-position model. Lineage: Bacteria; Bacillati; Actinomycetota; Actinomycetes. The record is from RNAcentral.
GCGGGCAUCCGCGGAUUUGGAAAGUUUUUCGGUUGAAGAUGAUCUCGCGGCCUAUCAGCUUGUUGGUGAGGUAAUGGCUCACCAAGGCGACGACGGGUAGCCGGCCUGAGAGGGCGACCGGCCACACUGGGACUGAGACACGGCCCAGACUCCUACGGGAGGCAGCAGUGGGGAAUAUUGGGCAAUGGAGGAAACUCUGACCCAGCGACGCCGCGUGCGGGAUGAAGGCCUUCGGGUUGUAAACCGCUUUCAGCAGGGAAGAAGCGAAAGUGACGGUACCUGCAGAAGAAGCACCGGCUAACUAUGUGCCAGCAGCCGCGGUAAUACAUAGGGUGCAAGCGUUGUCCGGAAUUAUUGGGCGUAAAGAGCUCGUAGGUGGUUCGUCACGUCGGAUGUGAAACUCUGGGGCUUAACCCCAGACCUGCAUUCGAUACGGGCGAGCUUGAGUAUGGUAGGGGAGUCUGGAAUUCCUGGUGUAGCGGUGGAAUGCGCAGAUAUCAGGAAGAACACCAAUGGCGAAGGCAGGACUCUGGGCCAUUACUGACACUGAGGAGCGAAAGCGUGGGGAGCGAACAGGAUUAGAUACCCUGGUAGUCCACGCCGUAAACGGUGGGCACUAGUUGUGGGGACCUUCCACGGUCUCUGCGACGCAGCUAACGCAUUAAGUGCCCCGCCUGGGGAGUACGAUCGCAAGAUUAAAACUCAAAGGAAUUGACGGGGCCCCGCACAAGCAGCGGAGCAUGCGGCUUAAUUCGACGCAACGCGAAGAACCUUACCAAGGCUU